CUUGGUCAUUUAGAGGAAGUAAAAGUCGUAACAAGGUUUCCGUAGUGAACCUGCGGAAGGAUCAUUACAAGUGAGGCUACCGAACGUUGGAAACAGCGGUUAGGAGCUUACACCCACCCGUGUUUACAUACUAUUGUUGCUUUGGCGGGUCGUGGCCUCCACUGCGGGCUCUGCUCGUGUGUGCCCGCCAGAGAACCAAACUCUGAAUGUUAGUGAUGUCUGAGUACUAUCUAAUAGUUAAAACUUUCAACAACGGAUCUCUUGGUUCUGGCAUCGAUGAAGAACGCAGCGAAAUGCGAUAAGUAAUGUGAAUUGCAGAAUUCAGUGAAUCAUCGAAUCUUUGAACGCACAUUGCGCCCUGUGGUAUUCCGCAGGCAUGCCUGUUCGAGCGUCAUUUAACCACUCACGCCUGGCGUGGUAUUGGGGCACGCGGUCUCCGCGGCCCUCAAAAUUAGUGGCGGUGCCGGUGGGCUCUAAGCGUAGUACAUACUCCCGCUAUAGAGUUCCCCCGGUGGCUCGCCAGAACCCCCAAUUUUUUACAGGUUGACCUCGGAUCAGGUAGGGAUACCCGCUGAACUUAAGCAUAUCAAUAAGCGGAGGA
RNAcentral lists this unclassified non-coding RNA (601 nucleotides) under uncultured fungus. RNAcentral's name for it is "partial miscellaneous RNA". The stretch from base 242 to 394 matches the Rfam family "5.8S ribosomal RNA". Lineage: Eukaryota; Fungi. The record is from RNAcentral.